UACAGAGGUCCCAAGCGUUGUUCGGAUUCAUUGGGCGUAAAGGGUGCGUAGGUGGCGCCGUAAGUCGGGUGUGAAAUUUCGGAGCUUAACUCCGAAACUGCAUUCGAUACUGCGGGGCUCGAGGACUGGAGAGGAGACUGGAAUUCAUGGUGUAGCAGUGAAAUGCGUAGAGAUCAUGAGGAAGACCAGUGGCGAAGGCGGGUCUCUGGACAGUUCCUGACACUGAGGCACGAAGGCCAGGGGAGCAAACGGG
This 253-nucleotide ribosomal RNA is filed under the name uncultured bacterium. RNAcentral describes it as "partial 16S ribosomal RNA". It matches the Rfam family "Bacterial small subunit ribosomal RNA", at positions 524 to 776 of the family's 1533-position model. The record is from RNAcentral.